RNAcentral lists this ribosomal RNA (439 nucleotides) under uncultured bacterium. Its description in RNAcentral is "partial 16S ribosomal RNA". It matches the Rfam family "Bacterial small subunit ribosomal RNA", at positions 339 to 795 of the family's 1533-position model. The record is from RNAcentral.
CUACGGGGCGCACCAGUGAGGAAUAUUGCACAAUGGGGGGAACCCUGAUACAGCAACACCGCGUGGAGGAUGACGCAUUUCGGUGUGUAAACUCCUUUUAUAUGUCAAGAAAAUGACGGUAGCAUAUGAAUAAGCACCGGCUAACUCCGUGCCAGCAGCCGCGGUAAUACGGAGGGUGCAAGCGUUACUCGGAAUCACUGGGCGUAAAGGACGCGUAGGCGGGCUUGUAAGUCAGGUGUGAAAUCCUACAGCUUAACUGUAGAACUGCACUUGAAACUGGUAACCUAGAGUAUGGGAGGGGGAGAUGGAAUUAGUGGUGUAGGGGUAAAAUCCGUAGAUAUCACUAGGAAUACCUAAAGCGAAGGCGAUCUCCUGGAACAUAACUGACGCUAAGGCGUGAAAGCGUGGGGAGCAAACAGGAUUAGAUACCCCAGUAGUC